Molecule: non-coding RNA, 183 nt
Filed under: Gallaecimonas xiamenensis 3-C-1
Lineage: Bacteria; Pseudomonadati; Pseudomonadota; Gammaproteobacteria; Enterobacterales; Gallaecimonadaceae
Description: Gallaecimonas sp. 3-C-1 6S / SsrS RNA
Rfam family: 6S / SsrS RNA
About the family: E. coli 6S RNA was the first non coding RNA to be sequenced, but its function was unknown until recently.
Source: Rfam by way of RNAcentral
AAGACCCUGUGGUGUUUGCCAGUGGAUCAAUGUCCCUGAGCCGAUAUCUACAUCCAAGGGUGUUUUCUCUGCUGCUAUUGAGCAAGCUCAGCUCGUACUGAGACGCCUGCGGCGGCAACUAAACAUCCGCCUUGAACCAUUGGGUUCAAGGGCUGUCAUCCGCAGCGGCACCCCGGGGCACCU